Molecule: ribosomal RNA, 207 nt
Filed under: uncultured bacterium
Lineage: Bacteria
Description: partial 16S ribosomal RNA
Rfam family: Bacterial small subunit ribosomal RNA
Source: RNAcentral
UACAGAGGGUGCAAGCGUUAAUCGGAAUUCUGGGCGUAAAGGGCGCGUAGGCGGAUAAUUAAGUUAGGUGUGAAAUCCCUGGGCUUAACCUGGGAACUGCAUUUUAAUACUGGUUGUCUAGAGUAGAGUAGAGGGGAAGUGGAAUUUUCCGGUGUAGCGGUGAAAUCGUAGAUAUGGAAAGAACUCAGUGGCGAAAGGCGGCUUUUC